Photobacterium iliopiscarium is the source of this 84-nucleotide non-coding RNA. NCBI's taxonomy places the organism in Bacteria, Pseudomonadati, Pseudomonadota, Gammaproteobacteria, Vibrionales, Vibrionaceae. The record is from Rfam.
UCGGUUCUUUUUUUUAGUUCCUUGCUUCCCCAGGAUAACCGAGCCGACAAGGGAAGCUGAAUAAUCCGUAAGGAGCAACCUAUG